RNAcentral lists this ribosomal RNA (253 nucleotides) under uncultured bacterium. RNAcentral describes it as "partial 16S ribosomal RNA". It matches the Rfam family "Bacterial small subunit ribosomal RNA", at positions 524 to 776 of the family's 1533-position model. The record is from RNAcentral.
UACGUAGGGGGCAAGCGUUGUCCGGAUUUAUUGGGCGUAAAGAGCUCGUAGGCGGUCUGUCGCGUCUGCUGUGAAAACCUGGGGCUUAACCCCGGGCCUGCAGUGGGUACGGGCAGACUAGAGUGCGGUAGGGGAGACUGGAAUUCCUGGUGUAGCGGUGAAAUGCGCAGAUAUCAGGAGGAACACCGGUGGCGAAGGCGGGUCUCUGGGCCGUAACUGACGCUGAGGCGCGAGAGCGUGGGGAGCAAACAGG